Molecule: signal recognition particle RNA, 101 nt
Rfam family: Bacterial small signal recognition particle RNA
About the family: The signal recognition particle (SRP) is a universally conserved ribonucleoprotein involved in the co-translational targeting of proteins to membranes. Archaeal SRP consists of a 7S RNA and homologues of the eukaryotic SRP19 and SRP54 proteins.
GGUCAAGUCUUAUGCAACAUUGCGCUUCCAAACCCCGCCAGGUCCGGAAGGAAGCAACGGUAGGAAAAUCGUUUUGUGUGACAUGAGGAAGCUUGACCUCA